Molecule: ribosomal RNA, 464 nt
Filed under: uncultured soil bacterium
Lineage: Bacteria
Description: bacterial SSU rRNA
Rfam family: Bacterial small subunit ribosomal RNA
Source: RNAcentral
AGGACGAACGCUGGCGGCGUGCUUAGCACAUGCAGGUCGAACGGUAAGGCCCCUUCGGGGGUACACGAGUGGCGAACGGGUGAGUAACACGUGGGUAAUCUGCCCUGCACUUCGGGAUAAGCCUGGGAAACUGGGUCUAAUACCGGAUAUGAACUCCUGCCGCAUGGUGGGGGUUGGAAAGUUUUUCGGUGCAGGAUGAGCCCGCGGCCUAUCAGCUUGUUGGUGGGGUAAUGGCCUACCAAGGCGACGACGGGUAGCCGGCCUGAGAGGGUGAGUCGGCCACACUGGGACUGAGACACGGCCCAGACUCCGUACGGGAGGCAGCAGUGGGGAAUAUUGCACAAUGGGCGAAAGCCUGAUGCAGCGACGCCGCGUGGGGAUGGACGGUCGUUCGGAUUCGUAAACCCCUUUCAGUAGGGACGAAGCGCAAGUGACGGUACGUGCAGAAGAAGCACCGGCUAACG